CCUGGUUGAUCCUGCCAGUAGUCAUAUGCUUGUCUUAAAGAUUAAGCCAUGCAUGUCUAAGUAUAAGCUUUUAUACGGCUAAACUGCGAAUGGCUCAUUAAAACAGUUAUAGUUUAUUUGAUGGUCUUUACUACAUGGAUAACCGUGGUAAUUCUAUGGCUAAUACAUGCGCACAUGCCUCUUCCCCUGGAAGGGCAGUGUUUAUUAGAUACAGAACCAACCCACCUUCCGGUGGUCCUCAGGUGAUUCAUAGUAACCGAACGGAUCGCGUUGACUUCGGUCUGCGACGGAUCAUUCAAGUUUCUGACCUAUCAGCUUUCGACGGUACUGUAUUGGACUACCGUGGCAGUGACGGGUAACGGGGAAUUAGGGUUCGAUUCCGGAGAGGGAGCCUGAGAAACGGCUACCACAUCUAAGGAAGGCAGCAGGCGCGCAAAUUACCCAAUCCUGAUUCAGGGAGGUAGUGACAAGAAAUAACAACACUGGAAAUUUCAUUUCUAGUGAUUGGAAUGAUAGGAAUCCAAACCCCUUUCAGAGUAACAAUUGGAGGGCAAGUCUGGUGCCAGCAGCCGCGGUAAUUCCAGCUCCAAUAGCGUAUAUUAAAGUUGUUGCAGUUAAAAAGCUCGUAGUUGGAUUUCUGCUGGAAGCAGCCAGUCCGCCCUCAGGGGUGUGCACUUGGUGAAUUCUAGCAUCCUUCUGGAUUUCUCCACACUUCAUUGUGUGGAGUUUUUUCCAGGACUUUUACUUUGAGAAAAUUAGAGUGUUUCAAGCAGGCUUGUCGCCUUGAAUACUGCAGCAUGGAAUAAUAAGAUAGGAUUUCGGCCCUAUUUUGUUGGUUUCUAGGACUGAAGUAAUGAUUAAUAGGGACGGUUGGGGGCAUUCGUAUUUAACUGUCAGAGGUGAAAUUCUUAGAUUUGUUAAAGACGAACUACUGCGAAAGCAUUUGCCAAAGAUGUUUUCAUUAAUCAAGAACGAAAGUUAGGGGCUCGAAGACGAUCAGAUACCGUCGUAGUCUUAACC
This 1020-nucleotide ribosomal RNA is filed under the name Toxoplasma gondii ME49. Its description in RNAcentral is "SSU rRNA". It matches the Rfam family "Eukaryotic small subunit ribosomal RNA", at positions 3 to 1031 of the family's 1831-position model. Lineage: Eukaryota; Apicomplexa; Conoidasida; Eucoccidiorida; Sarcocystidae. The record is from RNAcentral.